GGAAAACUAAAACAAAAAUAAAUUAGUAACAACCAAAAAAAAAAAAAACACGUUCUAAACAACUUCCUAAAUUUCAGAUUUUUACAACCUUUCUCAUACCUCCACGAUCACCAUUUAGGAGCAAUCUCGGAUAACCACCUCUGUUCUAUCAUUUAUAUUUCUGUGAUUCAUGUCAAUUGAUCCACACAAAAAAAAACGCAAGAUUUCUUCUCAAGCAGUCAAGCCCACAUAAAAAAAAAAAAAUCUUAUGUUGGCAUUGAACGUUUAUUCUCUAAGGUAAACUACUAAUUCAUUUCAUAUUUCUUGACUUUUAUAUUACUCAAUUCUUCUAAAUGUCACUCUAUUCUACUUCUUCUAUACUACGACACCUAUAUUUAACAUGCAAAUGUUUUCUUAGAUCAGAAAACUAAUUAAGGUUUAGUUCUUUUUCCAGAAUCUAAAUUAGAGAGGCAAAAGGAGUCAUGAUAAAACAUAUUAAGGUUUUUCUUUUUCUAUCUCUCAUAUUACCCUCUAAAAUCUCUGUUUUAUUCAUGUACCCUUUUUAUGUUUCAAGAAAUCCUCCAUGGCUAACAAAUGAUGAUCUUUAACUGAUGCAGGUUUUAAAAUUUGAUGGUAAGACUUUCAAAAGAUGACAAAGAACCCAACACUUCACCUAGGAAACAUUUCAUCAAGAAAAUUGCAUAAUAUGUAGAUGGAAUUAUAUGUAAGAAUGGCAUUCUACUACUUAAUUAGAUAAUUUGUAACCAUUGUAGUCUCGGUUAAACUGAUACGUUCAAAUGUUUUAAAUCGUUGUUUAAAAUAUUGCAACAAAAUAGUUUUAUAUUUUAAAUAUAUUAAUUCAAACUUAUGCUUAUAUAUCACAUAAAAUC
Molecule: long non-coding RNA, 869 nt
Filed under: Capsella rubella
Lineage: Eukaryota; Viridiplantae; Streptophyta; Magnoliopsida; Brassicales; Brassicaceae
Description: long non-coding RNA (CRUB_LNC002096)
Source: RNAcentral